Choloepus didactylus (southern two-toed sloth) is the source of this 92-nucleotide small nucleolar RNA. RefSeq annotates it as small nucleolar RNA SNORD116. Lineage: Eukaryota; Metazoa; Chordata; Mammalia; Pilosa; Megalonychidae. The transcript has a single exon. The record is from RefSeq and is a predicted model, not a curated record.
GGAUCAAUGAUGACCCCAAAAAUGUGUUUGUGGAACCUCUGAACAAAAUGAGUGAGAAAUCCAUACUUUCUGUACUUAUCAAACUGAGGUCC